UAGCUGUAGGUGAACCUGCUGCUGGAUCAUUACUUUAUGUGAUGUUCAAAUUUGAAUUCGCAAUGAAAUGAUCGUUGUGAGACGGCUGUCGCUGGUGUCUAGGUGUUGCUGAUACAGUUGUUAACGUCCGUGGCUGUAUAUGUGGUGACAUGUUAGGACUCUUUAAUGAGUUUAAGACUUAAUGAGCCUCUUAAGUGAGGACGCCAGCACUCUUUUUUUCUCUAUAUUUUUUAAAAAAACGAAAAUUUCUAGCCUUAUCGGUGGAUCACUCGGCUCGUGGAUCGAUGAAGAACGCAGCAAACUGCGAUAAUUUGUGCGAACUGCAGAAACCUUGAGCACAAAAGUUUUGAACGCAUAUUGCAGCAUUGGGGUCAAACCCUUUGCUACGUCUGGUUCAGGGUCAUUUUCUUUUAAAGCGAAAGCUUUAAUUUAUAUAUGCUAUUGAUGCUUUAUAUUUUAAGAGGUUUGUUGUUUGUCAUAAUUUUAUAAAUAUAACUACAAAAAUCAAGCAACUUUGACCUGAACUCAGUCGAGAGC
RNAcentral lists this ribosomal RNA (537 nucleotides) under Meloidogyne sp. 08_c6. RNAcentral describes it as "eukaryotic LSU rRNA". The stretch from base 250 to 403 matches the Rfam family "5.8S ribosomal RNA". Lineage: Eukaryota; Metazoa; Nematoda; Chromadorea; Rhabditida; Meloidogynidae. The record is from RNAcentral.